GAUGAACGCUGGCGGCGUGCCUAAUACAUGCCAGUCGAGCGAACGGACGAGAAGCUUGCUUCUCUGAUGUUAGCGGCGCACGGGUGAGUAACACGUGGAUAACCUACCUAUAAGACUGGGAUAACUUCGGGAAACCGGCGCUAAUACCGGAUAAUAUUUUGAACCGCAUGGUUCAAAAGUGAAAGACGGUCUUGCUGUCACUUAUAGAUGGAUCCGCGCUGCAUUAGCUAGUUGGUAAGGUAACGGCUUACCAAGGCAACGAUGCAUAGCCGACGUGAGAGGCGGAUCGGCGACACUGGAACUGAGACGCGGUCAAUACUCCUACGGGAGGCAGCAGUAUGGAAUCGGCCGCAAUGGGCGAGAGUCUGACGGAGCAAGGCCGCGUGAGUUAUGAAGGUCUUCGGAUCGUAAAACUCGGUUAUUAGGUAAGAACAGAUGUGUAAGUAACUGUGCACAUCUUGACGGUACCGAAUCAGAAAGCAACGGCUAACUACGUG
This 497-nucleotide ribosomal RNA is filed under the name uncultured bacterium. RNAcentral describes it as "partial 16S ribosomal RNA". It matches the Rfam family "Bacterial small subunit ribosomal RNA", at positions 28 to 507 of the family's 1533-position model. The record is from RNAcentral.